AUCCACGCAACGGGCCUUGCAAGGCAGGCCAGUAUUGUUACGCCCAUACGGAGGUGCGUGACUGACGCUCAGAAAAUACGGUGGCUUGUCAGAGGCCAUCUGGGAAGCUGUGGGAAUUCUGAAUCAGCAUCUGAAAGCAAUGAAAGGAUUGGAUAUGGCCUAACAAACUGGAAGCUUAUGCCAGACUAAAUGGAAUAAUGGAUGACAGGAGGCAGGUGCACAUAUAGCUGAUCCAACCACAUCUUUACCUUCCCGGCAACUGACUUCACAUGGGACAUCAGGUGUAGGACAGAUACAGAACAUUACUGAGGCAAGGAGAGAGAAAACAGGAAUGCCAGCAAAAGGAAAAUGGACAAAAACCCCAUGAUUUCUGAAGGGUAAAUUCACCAGCUUGCAUUCAAGAAAGCCUCUGUGCUUCAUAAUGGCACAAAAGAGAGAAAGUGGCAUGGCUCAGGCUUCUCCCACCAAGAGCUAUGUAUGUCCUCAGAUCCUCCACUUUAGACAAACAUUAAAGAUAGAGGUUUACUGGUUGUGUAUGAAAUCUGAUGAGCUGCAAUUCUUUGCAGGGCAAAAUAGCACGUUGGGGAGCUGGGGGUCAGAGACAAUGCACUACAAUGGACUGUAGGUUCAAGGGUGGAACUAUCAUGUAAUCUAAAGAUUAUGCUGUGGCAUCAAGUGAUUAAAGGUUCCCCCCUUCAUCAUUACAGCGUUGUGGCAAGAGUGACCUGUCCCUCUGCUAGCAACUCAUUUGGUGGGGAAGGGGAAAGAAAACAGGGUGCUAGACAAAGAGAAAAUGGGUGGCUCUGCCCACUUUUGGCUCUAUCCCUGCCUACUGUGGGCAUGCAGCCUUGACAGAUUGCCCUCAAGCAUAGGAUAGCUCAGUCAGUACAGAAUGAGAUUCUUAAUCUCAGGGUCAUGGGUUUGAGCCCACAUUAGACAAAAG
Molecule: long non-coding RNA, 943 nt
Organism: Podarcis muralis (Common wall lizard)
Lineage: Eukaryota; Metazoa; Chordata; Lepidosauria; Squamata; Lacertidae
Source: RefSeq, a predicted model, not a curated record